RNAcentral lists this long non-coding RNA (14769 nucleotides) under Citrus sinensis (sweet orange). RNAcentral's name for it is "long non-coding RNA (CSIN_LNC002245)". The record is from RNAcentral. Lineage: Eukaryota; Viridiplantae; Streptophyta; Magnoliopsida; Sapindales; Rutaceae.
ACAAGAAUUACGUGGUUCGGUAAUUAAACCUACAUCCACGGAGGCAAGAAAGAAUAAUUGUUUAUUUAACAAUUAAUAGAAUACAAUAUUUGAGUAACGAAUCUCACUUCCCAGAAACCCAAAUAUACCCAGUACUCUCACACUCUGCAGGAAAGAUAAAUUCCCCAGACACACUUCUCUCACUUCUCUCAAAAGCUUAGAAACUUAUAAGCUUAACAAUUUUGGGAUGCUAAAGAAUGAAAGAAGUGCCAUCUAUUUAUAGGGAAAAUAAUGACACUAUUGCACCAACCCCUUUACUAUUCCACCUAACCUAAGCCAAUAGUCAAUGGUGUCCAUUUGGCAAAUUUGACAAAUUUGCCAACUUUCCAUAUUUUCUUCAAAUGUUUGGUAGCCAUUUGAAAUUUUGCAUGCAUUUUUGAAUUUCAAUGUCACGUGCAUGACUUUUCAACACUAAACAUAACUAAACUACCAUUUACAGAACUAUCUAAAAUAGCCUACAGCUAGUAUGUCCUAAAUAAGGAAAGGAUAAAAGCUUUACAAUCAUAAAGAUAGUUGUUACAGUUGUACAAGCAUAAAAUCUGUUAAGCAUAGAAUCUUCUAUAGAAUCUGCUAACUCAAAUUGAUGCUGGUAAAUCUACAAGCAUCAAUUUGCUAACAAGAAAGUUAUGUCGCUGAAGUGUCAUGGGCUUGGUGAAGAUAUCCGCAAUUUGUAGAGUAGUAGAGAUAUGCGGGAGAGUGAUAACUUGGCGGUCAUAGGCCUCGCGAAUAGAGUGGCAGUCAACCUCUAUGUGUUUCGUGCGCUCGUGGUAGACAGGGUUGGCUGUAAUUUGGAUGGCACUAGUGUUGUCAGCAUGUAGGGGAGUAGGUUGAUGUUGUGAGAAACCAAGUUCUGUUAAAAGACCACGCAGCCAAAUGAUCUCGAAGCAUGCUGCAGACAUGGCGCGGUGUUCUACCUCAGUGGAUGAUUUGGAACUGAGUCUUGCUUUUUGCAUUUCUAAGAGAUAAGUGCAUCACCAAGAAACAUGCACCAUCGCAUAGUAGAUUUUCUCGUGUCCAGGCAGCCAGCCCAAUCUGCAUCACUGUAGGCUUGUAGUUGGAGUGAAGAACCAGUAAGGAAGAAUAAACCACGGCUAGGAGUGCCAAGAAAUAUCACCCAAAUGCGAAGUUUGAACUCAUCCGAACUUAUCCAAAAUAUUCAUCCGAUCCGAUUUAUUUUGGAUGGGAUAGGAUUUGAGAUUUGGAUUGGAAUCGGAUGGAUUUUUUCCCAAUCCAAAUGUAAAGUUGCCUAGCCCUAAUUUCUAAAUCCUUCAAUGAGGUUAGCUAAUUACAUAUUGAUUGCGAUUAUGGGAUUUCUGGCUUCUUAGGGAGAAAAGGAAGAAAAAAAUAAAAAAUAAAAAAGAAUUUACAUGUAAAACUUUGGGCAUAGUUUCAUAUGAAUUUAGUUGAGGACAACUUUAAUUUCUUAUUCGUGUUAGUAUCAAUGAUCUGUCUUGUUAACAUAAAUAUGUUAAUAAUAUUGAUUUUGAUGAUAACAAAUUUUAAAUGAUUUUUGAUAAAAGUAUUGGAGCUAUUUCUUAAUAAACGAGAGCCUUAGUAAUCAUUCCAUUCAUGCUUCAUAAAAGAUGGACUUUAAAAUUAGAAAAAGUUUCUCUACAAAAACUGGUUUAAAAUGCAAUUCUGGUUAUAAACGGUGAACCGUUUAUUUAAACGGUUAACCGAUAACAGCCAGAGAGCCACAUAUUUCCUAAACCUCUAACCGUUUAUGAAAAACGGAAAACACAAAAGAUGGGAAGGUUACUGGAACUUAACGGUGAACCGUUUAUUUUAAACGGUUAACCGAUAACGUCCAGAAUUGAAGGUUGUCCUCCUCUGGCACUGAUUAACGAAAACUGAUAAGGCUAAAUUGUUUUGCAGGUUACUGGAGACAAACGGCGAACCGUUUAUAUCAAACGGUUAACCGAUAAUGUCCAGAGAAGCCACUUCACGCAAGUCCUUAACCGUUUAGCGUAAACGGAUAACAAAUGCUCAUCUUGCAGGUCUCUGGNNNNNNNNNNNNNNNNNNNNNNNNNNNNNNNNNNNNNNNNNNNNNNNNNNNNNNNNNNNNNNNNNNNNNNNNNNNNNNNNNNNNNNNNNNNNNNNNNNNNNNNAGCUAUAAAUAAGCUCAUUCAAAUUCAAACAAAAGCUGAUCACAACACGACUACUGAGCAUAUACUUGAGACUACAAUCUUCAUUGAGCUAUUAAAAUACAUUCUUGCUUCAUCUAUCCAUAUAUUGGGUAUCAUUGUGUAAUCUUUUAUAUUGUGAGAGGCAAAACAAUUUGUAAUCUUUUAUUUUGAGUGAUUGUAAGUGUUGGGAUACACUUGGGUUAAGAGAUUGGGGAUAAUCUCUUGUUGUAAAGGUCCAUUGACACCUUGGAAGUCAAGUGUAAGCAUUUGAAGCCUUGGAGGCUUGCUUAGUGGAAUCCUCAAGCCCGGAAAGCUUGGAGGCGUGGACGUAGGCGAGGUUGGCCGAACCACGUAAAAAUCUCGGUGUUUGAAUCCCUCUUCCCUUAUCUUUUUAUAUUGUGAUUCUCUUAAUUGUUAUUGCUUUGAAUUUGAUUUAUAAUUGCAUUAAGAUUUUCUUUAAUAAAUUGAAUAAUUUUUUAGAAUCCCAAUUCACCCCCCCUCUUGGGUUGCAUACUUGUAUUUCAUGUCUAUUACUUAUUGGGGCCUUAUAAUGUAAAUGUCGAAUGGGGUUGCAACAUUGAUAGCGGGAAUGGUAGUUGCUGCUGCUGCUUAUGCUGGUAAGUAUGGCAUCACGGCCUGGCAGGCAUUCAAGGCACAAACGCCGACGGCUAGAAUGCGGAAAGUUUUCGAAGGUAGUUUUCAGCCUGUCAUGACAAGGAGGGAAGCGGCUAUGAUACUUGGAGUCAGGUACAAUUGAUAUCCGCUUGUCAAAUAAUAUAUGUAUGUUUAAUAGCAUUAGUUGAAAAUUUUGGUUGAUUUGAUGUUGUGAUGUUAAUGUAAUGGAGGAGCUCACUCUUAUUUGGGUGAUCUUUCUCGUGUGGGAAGAUAAGGGUUAACAGUUAACGUUUCAUUUUAUUUUCAGUUGGCUUUAAGUUAGUUUGAGGUACUUGGCUAGUUAUGAAAUGGACCUCAUUUCAAAUUAAAGCCUUGUUUGAUUACCUAAUAAUCCUGAAAUUCUCUGAGCCCUUUUAUCAUUUGACUUUAAGCUGUCGAUGAUUGUUUGGUUCUGUUAGUUUAAAACCAGAGGAAGUUGUAGGCUGAUGUGUGAGUGUGAAUAUGAAUCCUUGUGUCUCAUUCAAAUUUCAAUAUCUUACUGUAGCUACAUCGGCAAUGAGUUCUUCGUUUUAGAUUUAGGACAGUGAACAAUUUUGUGGUGAAGGGGCAAGUUAAACUCACAUUUGCUCGAUAUACGUCAAAUUGUAAACCCGCUGUUGUUUACACUUCUGUUACUAUUGUCAACACAAUGAUACAAAACCAAUGCUUCUUUCCUGUUCAUAGAAUUUUGUACCUUUAUGCUGCUUGUGUUCAAUAUGAUUAUGCAAAUUCUGCUGUUAAAAGUGUUCUGAGCUUAAUUUCUCUCUUUUAACUUCUUUUAUUCAUCAGAGAAAGUACUCCAACAGAAAAGGUCAAAGAAUCUCAUAGAAGAGUGAUGGUAGCAAACCAUCCAGAUGCGGGCGGUAGCCAUUACCUUGCAUCUAAAAUUAAUGAAGCAAAAGCUAUUAUGCUGAGAAGAACCAAACGCAGCAAUUCUGCAUUUUAGUAGGACUAUCCCAAUCUCUGUGAGGCUUCAUCCACAAAAGCUUUGGGAGUUGAGUUUCCAAAGUCAACUUUGUUGUAUUCUUCCAGUUAUUCAAUGGAUUCUUUCAGACCAUUAUUGUGCACUACAUUGAAAAUCGGAUUCCACCNNNNNNNNNNNNNNNNNNNNNNNNNNNNNNNNNNNNNNNCCCCCCCCCAAAAAACCCCCACGGGAUAAAUCAGUUUAGAGUUGAGGGAAACUUGUUUGUGUCAGCUAAUAUAUUAGUGAUUAAAUUGAUGGUAAUGAUUGUACUUUUUGUUGCUUUGUUUUUUCUAAUGAUGCUAGCCUGUAUUCUUCACACUCUAUUUUUGUUUGGUGAUAAUUGAAUCACUUUCGUGUAUCAUGAAGCUUUGAGGACUAAGCAAGCAAUGUGAAUGUUGUACGGACAUGUGUAGUAAUUUUUCCGAAGGACAUGAUAUAUCACCCGGGUACAAACCUACGAUGGCGUCCACAAAAAUAUGCAAUGCCAUGUUCAUUUUGUAGUUAAAGGUUAAGAGUAACUCCCCUAAAUAUUUCUUCUGACUUAUGCAUGUGCCUCAGCUUAAACUCGGAGUGAAAUCUUUGUUAAAAGAAAAUCAAUUUUUGCUAGCAGAACUACUCAAAUGUUCGACUUCAUUAUUUCUGUACUCAUUUGUCACUUCGGUAUGUAAUCUACUGGCUUGCACGCUUCCUCUACUCCACAGAAUAGUCCUUGAUACAUUGCCGUAUCGGUGCACAGACUCCUACUCCUAUCAAGUAAAAUUGAUUCACGUAUGUAAAUAUUUUAAUUUGAUUCUAGUAGUAUACACGCAUCCCAGUAAAAUUGAUUCGCGAAUACAAUUACUUCGUGGCAUAAUUUGAUUGGAGAGGUAUGCACACAGCUAUCCUUACGAAAGAUUCUAUAACUUCUCAGGGUGACAUUGAGGAAGAAUAAUUAACAAUGAGAUUAACAACUCUUACCGUAGAAUAAGUAACUCAACAAGUUGCUGCCUUCAUACUUCUACUUCUCAAAUUAGUUUGUCAUCCAAAAAUUGUGAUACAGCUUUAAAAUUUCAUCGUUCUCAUGCUCUCUGAGCAGAAGAGCUACCUGUGGUAUUUACAAAGAAUUGGGAGGAUCAAAACGAAAAGAAAAAACCCUAGUAAAUUUGUUGUGGGAUAUUGUUUUUCAUUGGCAAAGCUGUAUGCUAUUGUUUUUCAUUCACUGGAUGAAUUGGUAACGCUGUACGCCCUUUUGGUAUCUCCUUCAUAUGGAGUUUCACCCAUUUCGGUUUUCUGCUCAAGAGGACCUUGAGGGCUUCCAAAAGAUUUUUCCAUAAUCAUUUUUUAUCAUCACUUUCCUUUUUAGCUUGAGAAGCAUAGUUUUAAUAUCAUCUUAAAAUCUGUAAUUGUUGUAUACCUUACCUAUAUGUGUUGAUAAAUUCUAAUGAAAUGUUGGAUACAAUUAAAUUAAGGAAAAAAAUAAAUUAUCUAUUUUUUUCAAACUCAAAUACAAUAAAUAUAUCUCUAAUUAAAGUGAAUGACUUAUUCUACACUACCGACUAAUAAAAAGUGCAAUCUCUUAAUCCACGUUUUGAGUCUCCAACAACUCUGAUAGUGACGAUGAUGGUAAAGUGGAUGUGAAGGUGAAGGGUAAAUGAAAGUAAUACAACAUUACUUAGAAUUUAUAUGGUUUUAUUAAAUUUGGGUUUAAUAGGGUUUUACAUCUCGAGACAAUAAAAUGAUGAUUUUAUAAACAUUAGAGACAUUCUUAUAUAAAAAUUAAAUAAAAUAAUUAACUCAGUAUGUUUCUUGACUCCUUCUAAACAAUUCAUUAUCUCUCCUUACACUAGACUUAAGCAAAAAAAAAAAAAAUGUUCCUAUUUAUAUUUGUUUACUUUAUUUACUUGGCCUAUUCAAUGUUCACGACAAAUAAUACAUAUAUGCGUGUCAAAAUUGACAUCAAACAACCUAACUAGAUUUCUUUCAUGGCUAUCACUUUGUGUGCAGGUCAAAAUAAAAAAACAACCAAUCAAUAAUAAGAUAGAGAGUAAAGGCUAUUGCCUUGUGCAGUCAAGAAAACUGAAAGAGUGGAAGAGGAAAGAGAUUCAAUAUUACUUUAAAUUCGAAGUAAUUAAUUAACCUCAUUCAUAUCAUGUGAUUCUUAUUAAACGAAUAAUAAAUUUUCACAAUUUUCAAAAUGUUUUAUUGAAUAAACUACACUCAUCAUUCAUCUGUGGGUAUCAUAUUACUUUAAGGAAAAAAAAUUGAGAUGAUUUUUUCCAUUGCUCAAGAAAUAAUUAUAAUGCAACUGUUUCAGGGGCGUAGUUCCAAUGCCAUAACUUAUGAUAUGUUUUUAUGAAAGAUCUAUGUAAUAAAAAAAAAUGCAACAAAUGAAUGACUAAUUAAAACAAAGAAAAAAACAAGCACAAAUGCAGUAAAUUCGUUUUGUCUUUCUCGCAAGUGAUUUUGCAGGCGUUAUAGUCUAGGAGCCCAUGUAUUUUAUUACGGUUAUUACUUUGAUAAAGAGCUGUGAUUGUGUCUAGAAUAAUUAAAUAGAAAUAAGAUUGUGAAAUGCAUUGUACGGAUCAAUUCAGAUAAUAUAAUACUACUGAAAAAUAUAUAUCAAUUGAUGCGUUAGCAAUUAACAAUUAAUCGGCAUCUUCUCUAUUUGCAAUCAGCAAUGACAAAAUUACAAAUUACAAAUAUGUGCUUGACAUAGUCUUAAUCAUCUGCAACUUCCUUUCAUUCUUCUUUUUUUCUUUUUUUUGAGAGAGAGAGGGCAACUUCCUUUAAUUCAAAAUUGGGAACUUUUUGGCCCUUUCCACUUAACCUUACUAAACAUCUUCGAUCCUUUCACUAAAUUCAAGUUUUUUCCAGUCUCCUUACCCAUGUCAAAAAGACUAAAAUACCCUUCAGGCAUCAAAAUUUCCCAAUAAGACAUGGAGAUGAAAAGAAUUUAUUCUGUGACUGUUCUAAUGCUAUAUUGAUGGUGUGUAAGACAUUACAAUUGCAGGAAGAAGAGGAUGAAAUUGAUAGAAAUGGAAAUAGUAAUAUAUACGUGUCAAGUGCUGACAGCUUUCUUGUUUGCUUUGCUUCGGGUUGCCAUGUAGAAGAAUUUUCAACAGACCAUAAAAAAUACAAUAUCAACCGAACAAUAUUUUAUUAUGCAAUAUCUUUUUUCUUUUUUCGGGUGAGACUAAUUAAUUUAACUUCAACUUUUUAUAAAAAGCUUUUGACAUUAAAAAUUUUUUGAAUAUUUUUUUUCAUUAAAAAAAGCUGUUAUAUAUUUUUUAAAAUUUUGAAUAUCUACCAUUGGAUUAUACAAAAAUAAUGGAUGAGAAUUUAUGUCAAUAUUUGAAAUUAAAAAUUUUUAAUUAGAAUCCCUUGUCCUUUUCUAAUACUUUUUAAAUAAAUUCUUCAGUGUAAUAUGACAGCUGAAAUUUGUACAAGGUAAUCUGAAAAUUAAACGAAUCUAAAAUCUAAAAAUAAUUUUCUGUUGUUUUUGUUUGGUUUCGUUUUGUCAUUCCUUUGUGAAACAAUACCGCCGGUUCACCCAAAGUUAAUCAUAAAAUUAAUCAAUUUAAUUAAUUUAACGAUCGGUUUGUUCAAGUAAAUUACUAAAUAAAAUGUCUUAACAUUGAUGUUCCAUUAUCUUCUAUUUCGUUUAUAGUAACUCAAUUCUUUCACAUCCGUAUGAGUAGAGUUUGAAUCUCCAACUAUAUUUGUGUCGAUCUGAAAAAUUUUACGUUAUUUUCCUUAGUUAUAUGAAAACAUGACACGUAUACAGGGUAAAGGCCACUACUGUGAUGGAAUCAAAAAGGAAAGCUGAUAAGAGGAUCUCCAAUCAGUUGCUUUCCGUGGCUGUUGAAAGAGACCAAAUUUGCAAAGGCAGUGGUCUGCGGGUUCCAUAAUAAUUUUAUUUUUAUUUCUUUUUCCUUUUCCAACUUUCGUUAAAUUCAAUUUUUGAUAUAAUUUUUGAAUUUGACGGUUAGAAAUUUAUGGUCGGCCUAUUUUAUUCAUUUUAAAAUGAAAUCCGCAAUGAUGGAUCCACAGUGGGUUUUUAAUCUUCCUUCUAAAACCUCUAUUGAUCUGGGAUCUUCUAUGCUUUCUAAUUUGCUUAGCGUCUAGAACAAUCAGUAGCCAGCUGGAAUUGUGGGCCUUAUCUUAUGGCAGUGCUUGUAAUAGAGAUGGGAAAAUUCUUGGUGUGGAGAGACACGAGAGAAAGACGAGAGAAACAAUGAAAAAAGAGGUAAAGAGAGAGAGUGAGUGGGUAGAGAGAGAGCAAAAUUCUCUCAUUUUUCUCUCGUGCCGCCCUAGGCUUAAGUAUCGGGCCGCCCAGCCUGUCCUGCUGGCCUGUCUGUGAUUUCUGUUCUAUUUUUAUGUAUUUUCCCUUGGCUUUUCUAUUUCAUUUCUUGAAUCUCCAUUGAUUAACUUUCAAUAAACCAUAAAAUAAACUAAGGAAUCAUUUUCUCGAACGCAGCUAUGAUUUUAAUAAAGGGGCGGACCAUCUAGAAUAGUAUAUAUAAUUAUGUUUAAUUAAUAAGUUGAAAAAACCAUCAAGAGAAAUUAUAAUAUUAUGAGCUUGACACGAACUCUUCACUAAUUCCAAAUAAAGGAGUUGUUUUAUAAGGAUUGUGGUUGGAUUAUCAGGUCUUACAAUUUGAAUAUGAAUAGGAAAAUAAAAUAAAAUCGGUCACAGCCGAUGUAUUCGGUACACUUCGCUGCUCUCAACUUAAUUAAUUACUUUAUUUCCUCGCGGGCACUAUAUGAUGGGUCCAAGAUGAGACCUACGAAUUACGAUAAUCAAUCCCAUUAUUUAGUAUGUCUAUCAAACAGCUAGUGUUAUUUUGUGUUUGGUGGAAGAGAUUGAAUAUUUAGUUUUAACUUAACCAUUCAACUAAGUAGAAAAUAAAUAAAAUAAGAUGAAAUGUUUGGUUAUUAAUUUAAAUAAUAAUAUCGGGGAUAUAAAUUAAUUAUAAUAUAGUUCAUUACAUAAUUACACAUGAACAUAGAUGUAUAUGCAUUCCAAAGUGCUCACAGCACUUUUCUCACCAAACUUUCCUCUGAAUUUCCCGUAGCUGACUCCUUUCUUUGCGUUUUUCGAAAUUUCUCGAAACUUUUCUAUUUAAUAUAUUAUACAAUUUUUUUUCGGGUGAGACUAAUUUAACUUAAAUUAGAGAAUCUUAUCCUUUUUUUAAUAUUAUUUAAAUAAAAUUUGUCUAUCUUUCAUUUUAUCAGUCUACUUUCUACCCAUUAAUUAAGACUUUUCCAUUUUCUUUUUUCUUAAGAUUUUCAUUGACUAUCUUUCAAUAAACCAUAAAAAUUACUAAGUCAUUUAUCGAACAGACAGAUGACCAUAUUUCAAAAUAUAAACUACAAGCUGCCCUUAAAUAUUUAAUUAAUAGUUGAAGAAUUGUGAUCAGUGUGGACAUCUACAUAAAAAUUAUAUUGAAACACAGCUAAAAGAUUAAAAUAAAAUAAAAUAGCACAAACAUACACCUAUAGGUUAAAAAAAAAAAACACCAACCAAUACACUAAAAUGUUUUAGCUGUUGUUAGUUUUCAGUUUCAUUACUUAAGUCCCACGUGCAUAAGUCACGUGACUGAGGUGAAAAAAAGAUUGUCCCAUUAAAGUUUGAAGUACGAAGAGGGGUAAUUAAGAAUCUCCCAUUUCAUUGUCAACCAAAAAGACACUUGAAGAAGUUUGUACAUCCAACAUUUCUCAUAUCCUAAGAGCCUUUCCGUAUCAAAUUAAAGUAGUAGUAGCAAAAUCGCACUGCGCAUUCAAUUAAACAACUAAUAGUCUAAGAAGCAAAGAGAGGAUUACACGUUCACAACACCAUUGCAAAGGAUUCAAAAUAAAACAGAAUUCCCACACGAAAACGUCCAUGUACAGAUAUAAAUGGACACAAGAAAAUCCCUUCAAUGGAUUGCUUGCCUUCCUAAAGCUAUAUCCAGUGCAAACUGCGCACUGGCCAAGAAAAUGUUUUCAAUUUAGUGUAUUUUCAAAACGCUUAGGGCUCGUUUGGUAAUGUUUUUUGCUCGGUGUUUUAAAAAUUGUUAAAACAUGUAAUCUUCAGAAGCAUAUAAUAUAAGAACACUUCCACAAAUUACUAUAAUUUCAUGCAGUAGAGAUUGAAGAGUUGAAUUCCACUUAUAGUCACAGACCACUUGUUUUGUCCAAUGUUAAUAAUGAAAACAACAACAGAGGAUUAACUGAUGCUUUGACUUAUUAGCAUAUUGCAAUGAAUUAUUAACUGAUGCUUUGACUUAUCAGUUCUACAACUAAGGGGCUGUUUUUUUUUUUUUUAAAAGUUAUUGACUUAAUUGAUUUAGGGGCUGUUUUGUUUUUUGACUUAAAGACUUAAUUUUAAUAAGUUAAGUCAUUAAGUCUGUUUAUUUUUUCAACUUAAUGAAGAUUUUCAGCAAUUAAGCCAUUAAUUUAUUAAGCUAAUUUUUUUAACUUUUUACUUAAUCUAUAAAAAGUCUAAAUGCUAUCAUUAAAAGAUAUUUUUCAAAAUAUCCCUAUCUAAUUAAUUAAUUGUCACCCUUAACUAAAUAAAAUUUAAUAAUUAGCAUUAUUACCCAUCUGUAUUUAACUUAUGAAAAUAUAUAGUGAUAGACUAUUAUUUUUUAUCUUUUUAUUUUGUUCAAAUUAGCAUUAUUUAUCUUCAUAAUUUUUUAUAAAUAUUUUUCAUAUAAAAACAUCACAAGCUAUAAUAAAAUUGACUAACAUAUAUGAUAUAAAAUAUUAAAGAGUUAUAUUCAAUUGAAUAUGAUUUAUGUUAUGAUAAUUUAUUAUCUUAUUUAUAUUAUUUGAGAUGUUUAUUAUUUAUUUAACAAUAUAAUUUGUAUGGGCAUAAAUGUAAAAAUAUUAAUUUUCAGAUUUUUAAAUUAAAAAACAAACAAAUUAAUAUUUAUUUUUAGCUAUUAAAAAAAAUGUCAUUCUUUAGAUCUCAAACAAAAAAACAAACGCCACCUAAGUUAAAUAAAAUAAGGUAUUUUCAAAAGCAAAAAGGAACACACAGAUAAAACAUCGUCUUAAACAAAUCAUAAUCUAGAAUUAGAGCAUUUUGGACAUAGUUAAAAGAAUUCGUGAAAACGGGUGAUUCAUUUGUUAAGGAGUGUUGAUUUGAUCGGCUCUGCAAAUUCUCUUGGGACUCGGUUCCAAUUCCUCUUCAUUAGAAGUUCCACUCGCGCUUGCCAAAUCAUCCAAUUUUCAAACUUCGGUAGCAAAAUUGAGAGUAAAAGUGUUGGCUUUGGUCUCGUUGGGAUUUGCAUAUACUGGACACAGUCCACAACGUUUCACCCCGUAACCACCAUAUAAGGCAUUCCCAACGGCAGGGAAGAACUCAAAGGAGACAGUUGUAUGGUUGUUACCAUCAGGAAACCCAACAUUCAUGCAGAGACAAAAUCCAAGUAUGACAUGAUCUGAAUCAAUUGGGCGUUGUAAAUCUUCGAAAUGGUUAUACCGAUUAACAUGUUUGGCUUCAGAGACAGUCUUUGUUUCCAAGCGGAAGCGAUACCUGACGGAGACGAAUGGAUCCCUGAGUGAGCUGAAUUGACGCCCGUCUCCAAUUGUAUCCAAAAAAUCAAGAUCUUGCUUAAAACCAAGAACAGCACAAAAAGCAAACCCGAUUAAGUUUCUGCAAAAAGAAUGCGACAGCAGUUGAAUACUCAUCAAAUGUCCUGAACUUUGAUUCCUGAACCAGUCAGGAAUUUCGCUCCCAGGUAAAGCAAUUGUGCAUGCCUUGGGUGCAAUACGUUUCUGUGAAAUGACAUUUAAAAAAAAGAAAAAAAUAAAUUGUAAAAUGAAAACCAUGAUUUCAGAUAUAACAAAGAGGGACAGAGUAAAAGAAAGAGGGAAGUUGAUACCUUGUUUUUUACUCUUUCAUCUAAUCGUCUCAGUAAAGCAAUUGUCAUAUGCUGAAUUCUUAGUCGUAAAUCUGCCAAAAUCCUGUUGUUUGCUUUUUCAUUCAGUUUCAAGCAGUUAGUAAACUGGUGCGAAAUUUCUGUCGGAUAGACAACACGAGGGUUGUUGGAGUAUUUGGAUAGAUUUUCGGGUACGGAUGCAUCUAGUUCUUCUACAGAUGACCGAAUCUCUGGCAAAGAUUGGAGCAACUUGCAAUUCCCUGCUCUUAGACGUCGUAGACGCAAUGGAAGUUCUGGUAAUGACUGAAGCAUGUUACAACCGCUCAAAUUAAGAAAUCCUAGACACGAUGGAAGUUCUGGUAAUGACCGAAGCAUGUUACAAUCGCUCAAGUCAAGACUACUCAGCUGCGACAGUUGCUUGAUACUUACAGGUAAACUCUCAAAGCUAUUUCCACUUAGAUCUAAUUCUUCCAGUGAGGAUAGACAGCCAAUCUCUUGUGGAAUAUCCGUUACAGCACAAUCCCUUAAAUGUAGACACUCCAAAGAAGAUAAACCCGAUAAUAAUAAUGGAGGCAAUGAUACCAAAUUUCUGCAUCUAGGGAACCAAAGAUAUCUAAGUACGUUUGAAUCUGCAACAGAGGAUGGUAGUUGACUAAUAGCUGAUCCAUCUGCAAGGAUGUAAGCCAAAGAUUCUAAAUUGCCAAUGUUAUCCGGCAACUUAUCAAGUUUAGAGCAACCCCUUACGCUCAAUGAUUCAAGCCCCAGUAGAUUUUCAAAUGAAGAUGGCAGCUCUGUAAUUGCCGUCCUUUGUAAAUAGAUGUGUUUUAAAUGUUCCAUUUUCUCCAAGAUUUCCGGGAAACGCUCAAGGUUCAAGCAGCCAUGAAGAAAAAGAUCAACCAAAGAUUUCAAUUUACAAAACCUAGUUGAAAUCCUCUUCAGCCGUCUGCAAUCCCUCAAAUCCAACUUUUCAAGAUCAGUUAGGCACUCUAUUGAUGAUGGAACUUCUUCUAUUGCAGACUGGCCUAAGUAUAGCCGUGUAAUUUUCCCAGAAAUCUGUGGAAACUCUAUGAGAUUAACACAAGAGGAGAAAUUAAUAGUUACUGGACAAACAAAAUGAAGAUUGCUUGGAAAAGACCUAAGACUUUUGCAGCCCUCAAAAGACAACGCACUGAGAUACUUGAAAUUCUGGAUAGAUGAGGGAACACAAGCCUUUUCUCCUUCCCAAGGUUGCUCAACUUUACUAAAACGCAAAUUCAGUUCAACAAGGUUCUUUGGCUUGAAAUUUGAUGGCAGUGUCCUUAAUGGAUAUGUGUCCCAAUGAAGAUAUCUCAAUUUUUUAGGAAGAUAAUCUAGGCCAUUUGGGCCAUUUGGAAGCUGCACUUUAGAGUAGCAAUCUCAGAUUAGACAUAUUUGUGAAGGCUCCGGGGUCUAGAUUGAUGCCUUUUAUUUUGGACAAAUCCAAAAAUAUGCCUUCAAUUGCAUCGGUCCCCUUAAAAAAAAAACACACACACAAAGAAUGAGUAAGCCUGAAACCCAGAAGAAACAUUCGUAAACCUUAUUAACUAAGAGCUCCUUAAACAAGAACAAAUUCUGCAAUCUUUGAUUUUAUUUUUUUAAAUAUUAAAUAUCUAUAAGCGAGAAGAGAAAAAUUUGGGGACCAUUGCAAAAUUAAACUAACCCCAAAAAAAAAAAUAUCUGAACACCGUUCAAAAUUUCAAAUUUUCAAAAUUUUCUCUAAUUUACAAACUUGUUAUCUUAAUAUCUAGAAGUUGAGAAGAUAGGGCCUAUUUGAUAAGAUUUCAGUUUUUUUUUUUUUUUCAGUCGAUACAAUCCAAAAUGUUAGUUCAAAAUUAGGGGAAAAAAUUAAAAGUCAUUUUUUACCCUAGCUGUAAUUGUAUCCAAGUCAAAUUCAGAUACGACCCUUUUCGAAAAGAUUUAGCUAUCUUGCAGCCUCCGUAAGUUACAUUUAAGCUAAAAAAAAGUGAUUGGAGGUAGAACAUAUAGGCCAAUCAGUCCAUUUUAUUAUUAUUAGGGACUGCAGCUUAAAAAGAUAAAAUUAUACUUUAAACACAUUUACUUUUUUGAAAAAAAUAUAAUUAUAUUGAAGUAGAACCAGGUGGGCCAAUUCUCAUAGCACUCACUUUGUUCUAACACUCUUCACUAAAUUUGAAAAAAUAAAAUUAUACUCUAAACACACUUAUUCAACAUUCGAAAAUUGAUAAAAUCUGGAGUUUUCUCUAAAAAUUUAAAAUUUGAAGACUUGUUCUCUUGACACCCUCAGUCAUUAAUUUUACCUAAUUAUAGUUUUUAUGAUUUUGGUUGUUUUGUUUAUAAAAAUACUUUUACUAAAGGAUGUUCUGGUAAUAAUAAAAUUUAUAAAAAAGCAUGGCUGUGUUGUAUGGUUGGAAAAAUAUGAGUGCAUACCUCCAAACAAAUAAAAGAUUUAAAAAAUAAAAAAAAGGGGAUUCUUACUUUAUUAUGCUUGAGUACGCGGCGGAUUUCCUUAGGAUCCCACAACCUGCUACGUUUGCCGGGCUCUUUCUCAGAUUCUUGGCGAACAAUCUCUCGGCCCAUUUCUUGCAAUAAAUCAUGCAUUCGCAAGCAGUUAUGUGAUACUGUUAUGAGUGACUUGUCAAUGAGGACUUCCAGUCCGUAAGACCCAUAAUCAUCAAGUAUUCUCGUCACAAAAUCUUUAUCCUCUCCCUCAAAGAAACACGCAAUAUCUAGAAAUAUACUUUUCAUCUUGGGCAUUAAUUCGUUAAAACUAAUUUCUGCUGUACGGCCAAGGCGGAUGUACGGUACAGCAGUGCUUUCUCUUGGAGGAGAAUUCCCAUUAUAUACUAUGAAUACAAGCUUAUGUUUAGCCCUAAAUGUUGUGCGCAGAAUGCGGAAUCAAGCGCACCAAAUAAUUAUAGAAAAAUAAAGGACACAAGAAUUACAUGGUUCAGUAAUUAAACCUACAUCCACGGAGGCAAAAAAGAAUAAUUGUUUAUUUAACAAUUAAUAGAAUACAAUAUUUGAGUAACGAAUCUCACUUCCCAGAAACCCAAAUAUACCCAGUACUCUCACACUCUGCAGGAAAGAUAAAUUCCCCAGAUACACUUCUCUCACUUCUCUCAAAAGCUUAGAAACUUAUAAG